CAGUAGCCGCGGGAAUACGAAGGGUGCAAGCGUUACUCGGAAUUACUGGGCGUAAAGCGUGCGUAGGUGGUGGUUUAAGUCCGUUGUGAAAGCCCUGGGCUCAACCUGGGAAUUGCAGUGGAUACUGGGUCACUAGAGUGUGGUAGAGGAUAGUGGAAUUUCCGGUGUAGCAGUGAAAUGCGUAGAGAUCGGAAGGAACAUCUGUGGCGAAGGCGACUAUCUGGGCCAACACUGACACUGAGGCACGAAAGCGUGGGGAGCAAACAGGAUUAGAGACCCCUGUAGUCCCUGUCUCUUAUAA
This 301-nucleotide ribosomal RNA is filed under the name uncultured bacterium. Its description in RNAcentral is "partial 16S ribosomal RNA". It matches the Rfam family "Bacterial small subunit ribosomal RNA", at positions 509 to 809 of the family's 1533-position model. The record is from RNAcentral.